This is a long non-coding RNA of Thalassophryne amazonica, 633 nucleotides long. RefSeq lists it as uncharacterized. The transcript is spliced from 2 exons. Lineage: Eukaryota; Metazoa; Chordata; Actinopteri; Batrachoidiformes; Batrachoididae. The record is from RefSeq and is a predicted model, not a curated record.
UGUUUUCCGACCACAAACAAGCAUACAGCCUGCUGAAUGUGACGUGCAGCCAAUCAGAAAGCGAGGUGAUGGACGUACGGAGCGGAAAAUAAAAUCAAAACAGCUGUUCUGACUUACCAAAAAGUCCAGUGGUCGCGCUGUCGCCACUCCUUUAAAGAACUCAUUUUCUUUUUCUUUUUGUAUCUUUUUUUUCCCUCUGUUUUAAAUAGUGCACAAAGUACUUCCAUUUGUUUGCUCUGAAGUCAAGUUUAAUCUUGCGAGAUUUCCUGUCUGAGCUGUGAAUGUUCGUGUGUGAAAUCUGUUCGUGUGUGCCUUCUGCCCCAUUCACAGGUUUCUAUGACCAUGAGAGAUUUGCAUUUGAUCUUUGCACAUCAAGGAGCCAUUCUGACCGUGUUUUAACACAGCCUGACUGUUGACCAGUGUGUCUUUAAAUAUCGUCACUGGAGCUUUGGAAAAAUAAAAUGACACGUUAAUGACAAAAUCUAAUGAACUGGCUUUGGUGCACAAUUAAUCAUGCAAAGUGAUCAAUUGUGAAACAUAAAUCCUUGAGGAAUUUAGAUUUGGCUAAAGCCUUAAACAUCAAAUUCAUCAUCCCAUUUUUCUCUGGGCCCACCUAAUAAGGAAACACUAUUU